Eurytemora carolleeae is the source of this 720-nucleotide long non-coding RNA. RefSeq lists it as uncharacterized. The transcript is spliced from 3 exons. The record is from RefSeq and is a predicted model, not a curated record. NCBI's taxonomy places the organism in Eukaryota, Metazoa, Arthropoda, Copepoda, Calanoida, Temoridae.
UCCAGUUUAUCAAUCAAUCAUCCGGUUUAUCAAUCAAUCAUACAGUUAUUAAUCAAUCAUUUGGUUUUUAAAUAAUCCUCUGGUUAUCAUUCAAUCAUUUGUUUCAUCAAUCAAUCGUCUUAUUUAUUAAUCAAUCAUUAUCAUAAUAAGUGCUUAUGUUUAUGUAGGUCAAACUCCGUACGCUGGAAAUCCUGUAUGGACUCAAUAUCUCAACAAGUUCAUAUUUCCAAGCUUGCUGACGGACAUUGAGUUUAAACAGACAUUUGGAUUGGAUUCACAAUCCUUCUAUGCGUUCAGGAACUCGUAUGUUGUCCCAGAAUUUGGUGCUAUCACGACUCAUCAUCUGGAUACAAUAACCUCGGCAGUAUUGCACAAAUUGUACAAGGAUAACGAUUACAGGCAGGGUGUGAUUAAUCUGUUAUUUAUUUCGCUUUUUUUUUAACUUGUUAUGUCUUAAAACAAUUCACUCAUUCUGAUGAUUUUCUAUAUCGCCCAGUAAUCACUUGCCUGAAAUCAGAGACAUGGGUAUUCUUUACGGAGUUGCUCAUAAAACUAUUCAAAGAUGGUUUGACAGAGUUAUGGGCCGUCUUCACACAAACCAUCCAUUUCUUGUAAAUCAGAGAGAUCUCGGCAAUCCUGGUAAACUGAGAGGUGAGAUAUUCUAGUUUUUAAGAUCAUUUGGACUAUAUAUUUAAAAAAUUGCUUAUUAUUAGAAAGCAA